UCCUUGAUGGUCUAGUGGUUAUGAUUUCCGCUUGUCAUGGUAUUAUCCAUACAAGCGCGGGAGACCAGGGUUCGAUUCCCUGUCAGGGAG
Molecule: non-coding RNA, 90 nt
Organism: Aspergillus campestris IBT 28561
Lineage: Eukaryota; Fungi; Ascomycota; Eurotiomycetes; Eurotiales; Aspergillaceae
Source: the annotation of a RefSeq genome assembly